GAUGAACGCUGGCGGCGUGCCUAAUACAUGCAAGUCGAGCGAACGGACGAGAAGCUUGCUUCUCUGAUGUUAGCGGCGGACGGGUGAGUAACACGUGGAUAACCUACCUAUAAGACUGGGAUAACUUCGGGAAACCGGAGCUAAUACCGGAUAAUAUUUUGAACCGCAUGGUUCAAAAGUGAAAGACGGUCUUGCUGUCACUUAUGGAUGGAUCCGCGCUGCAUUAGCUAGUUGGUAAGGUAACGGCUCACCAAGGCAACGAUGCAUAGCCGACCUGAGAGGGUGAUCGGCCACACUGGAACUGAGACACGGUCCAGACUCCUACGGGAGGCAGCAGUAGGGAAUCUUCCGCAAUGGGCGAAAGCCUGACGGAGCAACGCCGCGUGAGUGAUGAAGGUCUUCGGAUCGUAAAACUCUGUUAUUAGGGAAGAACAUAUGUGUAAGUAACUGUGCACAUCUUGACGGUACCUAAUCAGAAAGCCACGGCUAACUACGUGCCAGCAGCCGCGGUAAUACGUAGGUGGCAAGCGUUAUCCGGAAUUAUUGGGCGUAAAGCGCGCGUAGGCGGUUUUUUAAGUCUGAUGUGAAAGCCCACGGCUCAACCGUGGAGGGUCAUUGGAAACUGGAAAACUUGAGUGCAGAAGAGGAAAGUGGAAUUCCAUGUGUAGCGGUGAAAUGCGCAGAGAUAUGGAGGAACACCAGUGGCGAAGGCGACUUUCUGGUCUGUAACUGACGCUGAUGUGCGAAAGCGUGGGGAUCAAACAGGAUUAGAUACCCUGGUAGUCCACGCCGUAAACGAUGAGUGCUAAGUGUUAGGGGGUUUCCGCCCCUUAGUGCUGCAGCUAACGCAUUAAGCACUCCGCCUGGGGAGUACGACCGCAAGGUUGAAACUCAAAGGAAUUGACGGGGACCCGCACAAGCGGUGGAGCAUGUGGUUUAAUUCGAAGCAACGCGAAGAACCUUACCAAAUCUUGACAUCCUUUGACAACUCUAGAGAUAGAGCCUUCCCCUUCGGGGGACAAAGUGACAGGUGGUGCAUGGUUGUCGUCAGCUCGUGUCGUGAGAUGUUGGGUUAAGUCCCGCAACGAGCGCAACCCUUAAGCUUAGUUGCCAUCAUUAAGUUGGGCACUCUAAGUUGACUGCCGGUGACAAACCGGAGGAAGGUGGGGAUGACGUCAAAUCAUCAUGCCCCUUAUGAUUUGGGCUACACACGUGCUACAAUGGACAAUACAAAGGGCAGCGAAACCGCGAGGUCAAGCAAAUCCCAUAAAGUUGUUCUCAGUUCGAAUUGUAGUCUGCAACUCGACUACAUGAAGCUGGAAUCGCUAGUAAUCGUAGAUCAGCAUGCUACGGUGAAUACGUUCCCGGGUCU
RNAcentral lists this ribosomal RNA (1372 nucleotides) under uncultured bacterium. Its description in RNAcentral is "bacterial SSU rRNA". It matches the Rfam family "Bacterial small subunit ribosomal RNA", at positions 28 to 1381 of the family's 1533-position model. The record is from RNAcentral.